UUCACCGUGCAUUUCCCCAGUAGCAUAAUGCAUCUUUCUUCAUACAGUACUGCAGGCUUGCAUGCAAUUAAAUAUUUUCCACUUCUAAGAUGAAGACGAAUGGCCCUCGCAAGCAAGCUCAGUGCUUCGUCCUGCAGAGCUCGUUCUGAUCAAGUGGUGGCAGUAGGUUGCUUCGUUAGAAUAAUUCCUCCGUGGAUUUACACGCCCCACCCUCGUGUAAAUAGAGUUGGGAUUUAGAAGGUGUGAGCUGGCAUGGCAAUGAAGUCUGCAAAAUGAAUCUAAGGUCAUUGGGUUGGAGGACACCAGCUGAGUCAGCAAGUUUGUCAUCCCCUGCACUCUGAAAUGGCCACAUAAUCCCCUGGUAGUCCAGUAAGAUCCAAGGAAACGUCCAGUCCAGAAACAACCACAUACCCAAGUGUCCGUUCAGGCAAACACAACUGUUUUCCAAGUUGGUCAGCGAACUUCAUGGGAGGUUUUGUCUCGAUGAGCACGGAGGGAGGCAUUCUACUGCAGAACGCAUUGAAAAUGGUAUUUAUGGGCAGGAGAGUGUUUUUGAGGCUUUGCGAGGUCUUUUUCAGGACUAUUGCACCAAACAGAAGCAUUUCAUCUCACCUUGCAAGGACCUGACCCAGCCUCGUGAUCCGAGUUUGCUCCACGGAUGACUUGAUUAGGGGCAAGAGAAAGAAGAGUUGCUGGACAUGUGGCACUUGUUACUGCAAAGGGUGACCAGAGAGGAGAUGGGAACCUGAGGAGACCCGUGUUCCUGCGUAAAGGAAAACGGGAUGCGGGGGAGACCCCUGCCCUCUGGGAACUGGGAAGCAGAGAUAGGGCUGCAGUUUGUAGCAGGAGCAAAAAAAAGAUGAGGCGAUCCAGAAACACAAUUUGGAGGAGCUGGGACGUUAAUUGAGUUUGUUCUUGAGCGUUUAAGAGGUUAAUAGUCUCUGGUUAAACACCAUGUAUUAGUCUGAGGAACCACCCAAGGGAAAAAAGAAAAAGACAUAUUAAAAAACAAGCCUCACACCCACUAGUCUGCAAUCGAAUCUGCUCCGUCAUGCUGAGGGGCCGGUGGAGGAGAGCAGAGGAGCUCGCUCCAGCCCUAAUAAUUCUGAUGAUUCAUCGCUCCGAAAUAACAGAGGCCUUUGGGGACAGAAGCAUCAGCAUCACGCUGCUGCUCUCGGGCUAAUAAACACUCCUGGUAAACAUGCCUUUCCCCGUCCCCUAAAUAUCCACCUCACGCAAACACCGUGAGUCACCGAUCCCACCCAGCGGCAGCUCAGACCUUCCUGCAGCGCCGCGUCCGCACCACCCAGCACCGCUCCUCCCCGCACAGCCCGCUGGAGAGCACCCAGGCCUUGUUUGUUUGGACAGAGAUGCACAUGCAGACAUGCACACACAUACAGACAUGCACACACAUACAUCUGUAUAAGAAAGAUUUUAUAUAUAUAUGUAUUUUUUUUUUUUUAUAAGGGAGCACGGAAAGGCAUCUGGCCAAAUAAAUGACACUAAGCGGCGCGUUCCAUUUUAGGUGUUGACAGUGUAUAAUAAAUCCCGGCCCUACCUAACAUUUACAGGAACAUUAUAAAAUAAGUGAAACGGCGUGAGCUGGUUCCCGGGGCAACCAGACAAACACAAUAAACGGGCUGCAGAGGCAAGAGUAAGUUACACCAUACUCCUGGGUCUCAAAUAUAUCACUUUACAUUCGCCUUCUGCUGUUGCUGCUCCCGAAAGCUCUUUGUUUUAUUAGUAUUUGAAAAAAAAAAAUUAAAAAGACUGGUAUUUUUGUAGUGCAGAUCAGCGUGAAAUCGAUGAGUUCCUUUGGUUGCUUGUCUUUAUAGGUCUUUUACUGCACAUUAAAGCUUCUGUGAAAAUAAUAAUGACUAUUAAUAAAUCUUUAUAAAGAACUGCAUCCCCCUACUGCAGACGAAUAUUAUUAAUAAGGUGUCUAGCAACCCAAGGCCUUUGUUGGCCCACUAAAACUAGUUUUGAGGAGUAUUUUUCCUCAACACAGAUACAAGAUUAACUGUAAAACAUACAGGGUGGCUAAGCCAGCUUUCCCUGGGUUCAGCAGCCUUACUCCAGCUUUUCAUGUCACCAAACCACACGUUUGAGUCGGGCUGUCACUGGUUUUAGGAGACUGUUCUGGACCCAACCAGGUCAUUGCAUCUUGGGCUCAUUGAGUCCCAUGACAAGCUGUACAAGACAAUGACGUUUAGUUCUCUUAUUAACCACCCAAAACAUUUUGCUUCACCUGCGUACUGGGGGACUGUGAAUAUAUUACAUCAGUAUUUUCAGAUGCAUUCCCUAAACACAUGAUUUUCAGAAUACUGAGUGCCCAAGAAGUACAAGGAACUUCAUUCAAGAGGGGAGAAGAGAGGUGAGAGUUGCGAUAGGUUUGGGAAUGAUGCGAUAGUUUGGGGAAGAUGACCCUAGAGGUUCCUCAGCUUUUUAUACCACCCACAACUGAUUUAUCCACUGGUGCACCAUCAGUGUUGAAGGAACUGAUUUUUGCCAUUUUUCUCCAGACCUCACCAUCCACUACUGCAAACCAUGUUGUGCCUAAAGCAUUCUUAUUUAUGCUUGUUGAGCCAGAGCCACCUUUUUGUGGCUUCCGUCAUUGUUUUGCCUUGUCCUGUUUCCGGAUGGGCAAAUCUGGGGAGGCUCCAUCUCAGAGAAGUGUCCUGGUGAUUCUACCUGGGUGUAAACGGGGUGACUCAAAAGGAGUAUAUGGAACGUGUGAAUCUGGGAAGCCCAAAUGAAGCAGCAGGAAUCAUUUGGUUCAUCUACCUCUGCUUCUCCUGACCCGUCCUUGUGUGAGCAGCAAGUAAUAGUGACCAGAGGGAAAUUCCUUGGAAACAAGGGGGUGCUGGUUAAUAGCCCCAAAACUUUACAGGUGCUUCAGCAAUGACUGGAAACCUUCUCCAUGUGUUACCCAAGGUUUUCUGCGCAGUAAUGACAUUUGGAAGCGUGGAUACCAGACUGACUUACAAGCGAAGGGUGGGGUGAUCACAUGCUCCUGGUUUCUUUGCCAUAUUUAGCUCCAUCCUUUCCAGACUGCCGCGGAUUACGGGCCUGGGUUGAGCGGCCCUGCCAAGAAACAAGCUCUUGGCCCGCGGACAGCAGGGUGGACGGCUGCUGAGUGAGAACACAUCCACCCGCCCCGGCUGAGAGCAAAGGAGACGCAUUUCUGGGUAAAAACUCAGUGGAAAGGCAGAGCUAAGAGAACAGAGGUGGUUUACAAAAAAAAUCACUGCCCUAUUGAUGACUAAUUAGAAUGAGUGAGGUCCAGACGGCCAGAUCCUUUAAUGAGGCCAAUUAAGGAUCCACGUGUUUUCAUACAGUGCCCUUUUUCCUAGAAAGACUGAGCAGCAAUGGAGGUCCCACCUUCUGCUCCAGCCAGACACAGGCCAGCAACGCCACCCUGCAGCGCUUAAAAUAUACAAGGCAAAUGUGAUGAGGAAAACAAGAGUGUAGGUUUUCAGCAGGGAGGCUUUGUGGCAUGUCCAAGGUUUAUGCCAAAGUCCACCCCUGAACACCUUCUCAAAACUAAAAGCCUUUUCUUGGUAGGGUUGCCCAGCUUCCCGUUCUCAUUGUUUUCCUGUUAGAGCCUCUGCUCCCCUGAGUCACGGUCAUGAGGAGAAGAGCCUUAAGGCUGUGAAACACAGUUUCCGAUUUCCAACCUGAGCAGACACAGUGAGCAGCUCCCGAGGUUUCCACCCUUGUUUUGCAGGUUUUCAAUAGGGUGUCUAAGCAACUGGUGUUGGAGUGUUUAUUUGAACUGAAGGAGCUUCCUGAGGCUCUGUUGGCGCAAGAGCUCCUUCUGUCUGGCCACCUGAGGUUCAGAGGAUAUCCACCCCUACAUUACAAUACUACCCGAGGACCUCUUGAGCUUUUAGCCUAUUUCUCUUCCCAAGGCUCCCAUGAAACAUUGUCACUUUACAGAUGGGGAAUCUGGGAGAAGACAGACUAUUUGUGUUGCUCAGAAAGCAGAAAAUGAAAUAGAGAAAAUAAUCCAAAUUUCCAAACUCCAGGCUAGUAUUUAGCUGCCAAAUCGAUCUCCUUGCUACUGCAUUUCAUGGACAUUAAGGAAGAAAGCAGACUCCAGUUCUAUCAUGGUGUAGAUAUCUGCCACGCUUACUCUAAUUAAGAAAUACUUAUGUACAAAGGCAACUACACCAAUGUGCUUUCAGCAGAGAUGCUCAGAUGAAAACUCACAGACCUGCAGCCAGUCCUUCUUCCCAGUGACUUCAGGGCUGCAAAACUUGUCUCAGUCCUGAGCUGGUCUGCAAGUACAAAACCUAAACAUUGAUUAUUUUUUUUUUCAUAAAUGAAGCAAUGAAUUUAAAUCCUUCUAUUCACAAAACACAUUUGACAAAACAUAUUUUUGUUUUUAGUAACCCAAAGGGGUGAAUAAACACUCCACUUUGACGUUCCCAAUAGCUAGAAGAACUCCGCCUGAUGGUCAGCUUGGGCUCGGGAUGGCUGAGGGAUGACGGCGACGUUGCAGGGUCGUGGGCUCCGCAGGUCAGCGAGCUCUCCCACCUUAGAAACGGCAGCAGAGGAGCUCUGUGCAUUUCAAAAUGUCUAAGGGCUACUUGGAAACGUACACGUCUGAGUGCACUGGACUGGAUCAACCACAGACAUUAUGAGGUUUGUGGUGUGUCUGAGUGUAACAAUAGCAACCCAAGUCCAUACAAGAUUUCCCGGACGUGCAAGGCUAAUAUAGAUUACAUAUGUUCCAUUAAAUACACUGCGAACCCCAAGAAAGCUGAACUGGAGUCAUAGUGCAAUUAGCUCCUGAGAUCUGUAGGAAAUAAGAUCAGUGCUGCCAGGAUUCACAGCUACGUGAUGUUAUAUAUGCUUCCAUGUUAUCAGGAACACCGUAUAUAGGAAACAUUCCCCUUCCUAGGGUCACCCACUCACCCCUGUUCCGGGACAUUGGGUCCCAGUCCUGGUAAGGACCAUAUAGUGACCACAGAACUGACUCACUCAGAAGACAGGAACCCACUGUUUCUUGUGAUAAAAGACCUGAGUUGUUUUUUUUCCAUCAAAAAUGACAGAAAUAAUAGGCUUUAGAAAAGUUAGUGCCCUAAAAAGUUGUACGUCAAGUGGAGACCCUGGCUGCUAAAAUUGUCAAUGAGUUUGAGAAAUUAUUUACCAUGGACCUAUUGGAAGCAUUGCUGUAGUUUUCAACCUGUUAUCAGGUGAACGGCAAGAAACAUCCGUGACAAUGAACCUUUCACCCAAAUUCCUUAACAAACUAAAUGAAUAGAAACAGAUAUAUGUCCGGAGAGAAACCCUUGGGCUGGGCAGUAAAAGGGGAGACCAAGGGCUCUUACCUGAUUUGAAUAUAGUGGCCCUUCCAUUUAGAAUAUGAAUGAAGCUACAAAUGUCUUUGUUGAGUUGCUAACUUCAUGCAAAACGUGCCUUGCAAAUGGGCAAACUAAAGGCAAUGUCUGAAUAGUUCGUAUUUCUGGCAAGACAGAGGCUAAUGGGGAGUUACAGGGAGACCGACAGAGCAAAGAAAGAUGCUGCCCUUGGCCCCACGGGUACGUGAGCAGAUGGAGACCUGAAGGAAGCACAAGGCCAAUUAAGGGCAGAAAAGUCUCCUGGGAAUUGUUGAUGUAUUUUGGGGAUACGCUGAGGCAAACAGAAAAAGGACUGAAAAACACUAAUAGUGGGCAGAGUAGAGACAGCCUAAAAACCCAGAGGUUGAGCUCCCUUUGUAGUUAUUUGUGGCGCUGGGUAGGAUUUCACUCGUGGUUUCUAUUCUUUCCCUCAUCCUUAAAAAAUGUGAUGAAUUCAAUAAGUUUUCUGACCGGUCCAGCAUGGCAAAAGCAGCCGACCCUCCCCAUUGCACGGACCCUGCUCCGGACGGGGCUUUCGCGCUGGGUACCCGAAGCGCAUCAGGGUUAUCCAGCUGCUCUCCAAAGGCUGUGUCACAGCACACAGUUUUCCAGACUCGGCAUUAUUUCACAGCAAUCACCCCAAGUUUUGCAGAGUAUCCGAAGAAAAGCUUUAUUUCUGCCAUUUCGUGCAGGUGGUUGGUAGCGGGAGCCUGAUGGCAGUGGGUGGGAGGCUAACGGACCUGAUUUACCGAUUUAUUUCAUUCUUUCCCAAAAUCUUAGUGUGUGUUUAUCUCCACCAACUGCCCCUCCUGUGUCAAUGCCUUUGCCCCAAAACACAGUAUCCUGACAACUAUGUGUGGGCAGGUUAUCAGCACCUAUUCAGCCCCUGUUUCAGGAGCCCCCUCCAGCACUGAGCCAGCCAACUUGGCCAUUUCCCUCAAGACGCUCCUGGCUGCUCCAUCAUACUGCUCGGAGAGCUCCUUGGCCAGGCUGAGUUUUUGCAUGUUCUCUCUCAGGUUACUUUCUAGCCGUACCUGGUUCAGAUACUCUGGGUUUGCGGUUUUGAUCCUCUCUUCCAGCUCAUUCUGGUUCUGAAGCAUCGAGCAGAUCAUUUCCCGAAGCGUCGUUGUUCUCGCAAGGACGCGCUUUGUGGAACGACUCAGCUCCCCCAUGUGCCGCUGGACCCGCUUCAGUUUUUCAGGCACUUGCUUCUCCUUUACAACGAGCGAAAAGCUAUAGCCCUCCACAUGCACCUGCACCUUGGAGGCACCUGAAAGGACAAAGCAACGUUUCUCUUGUGACUUGCAUCUGGUUCAAGUCCAACAAAGAGAUAUCUAAACACUUUUGUUUCUGCAAAACUAAACACAUGACGCAAGAGCUCUCCGGUGACCGACUCUGAAAAACAUCCAGAAAAAUAAACUUGUUUCCAGUUUCCUUAU
Long non-coding RNA from Columba livia (rock pigeon), 6784 nucleotides. RefSeq lists it as uncharacterized. The record is from RefSeq and is a predicted model, not a curated record. Lineage: Eukaryota; Metazoa; Chordata; Aves; Columbiformes; Columbidae. The transcript has 5 exons.